RNAcentral lists this ribosomal RNA (447 nucleotides) under uncultured bacterium. RNAcentral's name for it is "bacterial SSU rRNA". It matches the Rfam family "Bacterial small subunit ribosomal RNA", at positions 355 to 825 of the family's 1533-position model. The record is from RNAcentral.
UGGGGAAUCUUGGACAAUGGGCGCAAGCCUGAUCCAGCCAUGCCGCGUGAGUGAAGAAGGCCUUCGGGUUGUAAAGCUCUUUUACCAGGGACGAUAAUGACGGUACCUGGAGAAUAAGCCCCGGCAAACUUCGUGCCAGCAGCCGCGGUAAUACGAGGGGGGCUAGCGUUGUUCGGAAUUACUGGGCGUAAAGCGCACGUAGGCGGAUUGUUAAGUCAGAGGUGAAAUCCCGGAGCUCAACUUCGGAACUGCCUUUGAUACUGGCAAUCUAGAGUCCGGAAGAGGUUAGUGGAAUUCCCAGUGUAGAGGUGAAAUUCGUAGAUAUUGGGAAGAACACCAGUGGCGAAGGCGGCUAACUGGUCCGGUACUGACGCUGAGGUGCGAAAGCGUGGGGAGCAAACAGGAUUAGAUACCCAAGUAGUCCCUGAGCGGGCUGGCAAGGCGCAU